AACGAACGCUGGCGGCAGGCUUAACACAUGCAAGUCGAACGCUCCGCAAGGAGAGUGGCAGACGGGUGAGUAACGCGUGGGAACGUGCCUUUUGGUUCGGAACAACUUCGGGAAACUGGAGCUAAUACCGAAUGUGCCCUUCGGGGGAAAGAUUUAUCGCCAAAAGAUCGGCCCGCGUCAGAUUAGCUAGUUGGUGGGGUAAUGGCCUACCAAGGCGACGAUCUGUAGCUGGUCUGAGAGGAUGAUCAGCCACACUGGGACUGAGACACGGCCCAGACUCCUACGGGAGGCAGCAGUGGGGAAUAUUGGACAAUGGGCGAAAGCCUGAUCCAGCAAUGCCGCGUGAGUGAUGAAGGCCU
Molecule: ribosomal RNA, 359 nt
Filed under: uncultured bacterium
Lineage: Bacteria
Description: bacterial SSU rRNA
Rfam family: Bacterial small subunit ribosomal RNA
Source: RNAcentral